RNAcentral lists this ribosomal RNA (253 nucleotides) under uncultured bacterium. RNAcentral describes it as "partial 16S ribosomal RNA". It matches the Rfam family "Bacterial small subunit ribosomal RNA", at positions 524 to 776 of the family's 1533-position model. The record is from RNAcentral.
UACGGGGGGGGCAAGCGUUGUUCGGAAUUACUGGGCGUAAAGGGCUCGUAGGCGGCCAACUAAGUCAGACGUGAAAUCCCUAGGCUCAACCUAGGAACUGCGUCUGAUACUGGAUGGCUUGAAUCCGGGAGAGGGAUGCAGAAUUCCAGGUGUAGCGGUGAAAUGCGUAGAUAUCUGGAGGAACACCGGUGGCGAAGGCGGCAUCCUGGACCAAUAUUGACGCUGAGGAGCGAAAGCCAGGGGAGCAAACGGG